GGGUUUGUAGCUCAGCAGUAGAGUGCUCACCUAACAAGUGUGAGGCCCAGAGUUCAACACUCAGCACCA
Molecule: transfer RNA, 69 nt
Filed under: Ictidomys tridecemlineatus (thirteen-lined ground squirrel)
Lineage: Eukaryota; Metazoa; Chordata; Mammalia; Rodentia; Sciuridae
Description: Spermophilus tridecemlineatus (thirteen-lined ground squirrel) tRNA
Rfam family: tRNA
About the family: Transfer RNA (tRNA) molecules are approximately 80 nucleotides in length.
Source: Rfam by way of RNAcentral